GGGGGUACAGCUCAGUGGUAGAGUGUGUGCUUGGCAUGCGUGAAGUCCUGGGUUCAAUCCCCAGUGCCUCCA
This 72-nucleotide transfer RNA is filed under the name Camelus bactrianus (Bactrian camel). It matches the Rfam family "tRNA". Rfam says of the family: Transfer RNA (tRNA) molecules are approximately 80 nucleotides in length. Their secondary structure includes four short double-helical elements and three loops (D, anti-codon, and T loops). Lineage: Eukaryota; Metazoa; Chordata; Mammalia; Artiodactyla; Camelidae. RNAcentral also lists the same sequence under 2 other names. The record is from Rfam by way of RNAcentral.